GGGAGGUGGAGACAGGCAUAUCUCUGUGGAUUUGAGGUCAGCCUGGUGUACUUAGUGAGUUCCAGGACAGACAGUUCUAUGUACUAAACAGAUAGCAACACACACACACACACAACACACACAGAGUUCUCAUAGUGUCUCUGUGGAAUUAGUUGCGAUAAUUCAGUAAUUUCAGGAUAAUGAAGCCACAGAUCCUACAGGAAUGUGGAACAAAUGGUUUGAUACAUUUUCAAGAGGAGGACCAGGACAUUGAGGCAGUCCUUUGUUUUACGUUGUCCUUGGUAACUAAAUCAGAUAUUGAGUAGCUUUGGGAGCCAUUCAAUCAAGGUUGUACAUUUAUUUGUUACAGCUUUCAAACCGUCUUACUGUACAUUCUAAGGGUGGAUAAUGAUUCCCUUGAUCUACUUCCCAAAUACUCAUAAGGGAAAAAUCUAAAUACUGUAGGGCAAUAAAUUGUAAAAUACUGUCUUAAGAAAUUUUGUUUUCUUUUAGGUUCGCCAUGAAAUCAGUGUUAACAGUAUAACACAUAAACUGUGUAGUAACAGUUGCUUUAAUGAAUACAGAUUGACCAAUGGUCUCAUAAUGAACUGCUGUGAACAAUGUAGCAAAUAUAUGCCCAAGAGUACUGGACACAGCAUUCUGAUUACAGGACAGCAAAAGAGAUUCUGCUGCCUGAGUUGUGCUGACGAAUAUAAAGAGAUAAUGGAAGCAAAAUCAAAAAUACUGCUUUUACAAAACAGAAAAAGGAAUGCCAUCAGAGAAGAAAAUGAAAAAAAAUUAUAUGAAUCAUCAAAAACACUUUCAGGAAAUACAGGAGAAAUACCAGAAAAAAAGGAAAAGAUUUCAGAAAUAAUAAAAGUUGCAGCAGACUGUAGCCUAGAUACAUCAUCAGAGGAACGGAAUGUGAAUUUACCUUGUUCUGUGGCAGCAGUAUCUGAUAAAUUUCAAGAGCAACUAGGAGACAAAAAUUCAGAGGAAUUUGAUGCAUCUGUUGUACUUUCUUUGGAUCCAGGUUCAUGGCCCCGAAUUUUGAAUAUGAAACAACGUGAAUUUCUUGUCAAAACAGAGCCACCUCAAGUAAGAAAUUUUAAUUUUCCAAAAGACAGUAUAGGCAAGAAGUUUUCAGAAACAUACUACACACAGAUUCUUCCAAAUGGUGAGAAGACCACCAGAUCCUGGCUACUCUAUUCAGUCUCUAAAGAUUCUGUGUUUUGCCUAUAUUGCAGACUCUUUGGGGAAGGAAAAAAUCAACUGAGAAAUGAGAAUGGGUGCAAAGAUUGGCACCAUUUGUCACAUAUUCUUAGUAAACAUGAAGAAAGUGAAAUGCACAUCAACAAUAGUGUUAAAUAUUCAAAAUUUAAAUCUAACUUGCAAAAUAAAACCAACGAAGCUACAGAAGGUGGGGAAAAUAUUGUGCAACUGUUGUACAUAUAACACCCUGUCUGUUCUAUAUAUAUGACAGUGUGUGCAUUACCCAGACACUGUCAUCAAAAGUUUUGUGCCCGGAACCAGUACCAUACACUGUGUAAGAGGAACAAUUAGCAAUAUGUCUAAUAGCAAAUAAAUAGUGAAAACUGUUCUUGUUCU
RNAcentral lists this long non-coding RNA (1587 nucleotides) under Rattus norvegicus (Norway rat). RNAcentral describes it as "long non-coding RNA NONRATT010933". Lineage: Eukaryota; Metazoa; Chordata; Mammalia; Rodentia; Muridae. The record is from RNAcentral.